GAUGAACGCUGGCGGCGUGCCUAAAACAUGCAAGUCGAAUGCGCUUCGGGCGCAUGGCGAACUGGUGAGUAACACAUUGGAAUCUGCCCUUAUCUCAGGGAUAACCCAUCGAAAGGUGGGAUAAUACCUGAUAGUCCGUGCUUGCACGGUAAAACUCCGGUGGAUAAGGAGGAUCCUAUGUCCUAUCAGCUUGUUGGUGGGGUAAUGGCCUACCAAGGCUACGACGGGCAGCUGUCUGAGAGGAUGAUCAGCCACAGUGGGACUGCGAUACGGCCCAGACUCCUACGGGAGGCAGCAGUUAGGAAUAUUGCACAAUGGACGAAAGUCUGAUGCAGCAACGCCGCGUGAAGGAUGACGGCCUUCGGGUUGUAAACUUCUUUUAUCAGGGAAGAUUAUGACGGUACCUGAUGAAUAAGCUCCGGCUAACUACGUGCCAGCCGCCGCCGUAA
This 449-nucleotide ribosomal RNA is filed under the name uncultured bacterium. RNAcentral describes it as "partial 16S ribosomal RNA". It matches the Rfam family "Bacterial small subunit ribosomal RNA", at positions 28 to 523 of the family's 1533-position model. The record is from RNAcentral.